GUCUAUGGCCAUACCACCCUGAAUGAGCCUGAUCUCAUCUAAUCUUGGAAGCUAAGCAGGGUCGGGCUUGGCUAGUACUUGGAUGUGAGACAAUUUAAGUAUAUACU
Molecule: ribosomal RNA, 107 nt
Filed under: Carlito syrichta (Philippine tarsier)
Lineage: Eukaryota; Metazoa; Chordata; Mammalia; Primates; Tarsiidae
Source: RNAcentral